RNAcentral lists this ribosomal RNA (760 nucleotides) under uncultured Inocybe. RNAcentral describes it as "partial 28S ribosomal RNA". It matches the Rfam family "Eukaryotic large subunit ribosomal RNA", at positions 216 to 962 of the family's 3401-position model. Lineage: Eukaryota; Fungi; Basidiomycota; Agaricomycetes; Agaricales; Cortinariaceae. The record is from RNAcentral.
GAAUCCCGUCUUUGACACGGACUGCCUGUACAUUAUGGUGUGCUCUCGAAGAGUCGAGUUGUUUGGGAAUGCAGCUCAAAAUGGGUGGUAAAUGCCAUCUAAAGCUAAAUAUUGGCGAGAGACCGAUAGCGAACAAGUACCGUGAGGGAAAGAUGAAAAGAACUUUGGAAAGAGAGUUAAACAGUACGUGAAAUUGCUGGAAGGGAAACGCUUGAAGUCAGUCGCGUUGGCUAGAAAUCAACCUUGCUUUUGCUUUGUGUACUUUCUGGUUGACGGGUCAGCAUCAAUUUUGACCACUGGAUAAAGUCUUUGGGAAUGUGGCAUCUUCGGAUGUGUUAUAGCCCAUUGUCGCAUACGGUGGUUGGGAUUGAGGAACUCAGCACGCCGCAAGGCCGGGUUUCGACCACGUUCGUGCUUAGGAUGCUGGCAUAAUGGCUUUAAUCGACCCGUCUUGAAACACGGACCAAGGAGUCUAACAUGCCUGCGAGUGUUUGGGUGGAAAAACCCAUGCGCGCAAUGAAAGUGAAAGUUGAGAUCCUCUUCAAAGGGGGAGCAUUGACGCCCGGACCAGACCUUUUGUGACGGAUCCGCGGUAGAGCAUGCAUGUUGGGACCCGAAAGAUGGUGAACUAUGCCUGAAUAGGGUGAAGCCAGAGGAAACUCUGGUGGAGGCUCGUAGCGAUUCUGACGUGCAAAUCGAUCGUCAAAUUUGGGUAUAGGGGCGAAAGACUAAUCGAACCAUCUAGUAGCUGGUUCCUGCC